GACGUAGGGAGCAAGCGUUGUCCGGAUUUACUGGGCGUAAAGAGCGCGUAGGCGGCUCGUUAAGUGUGAAGUGAAAUCUCCAGUGCUCAACACGGAAACUGCUUUACAUACUGGCGAGCUUGAGGAAAGCAGAGGCAACUAGAAUUCCUGGUGUAGCGGUGAAAUGCGUUGAUAUCAGGAGGAAUACCAAUGGCGAAGGCAGGUUGCUGGGCUUUAUCUGACGCUGAGGCGCGAAAGCGUGGGUAGCAAACAGGAUUAGAUACCCUGGUAGUCCACGCCCUAAACGAUGGAUACUAGACGUAAGAGGUAUCGACCCCUCUUGUGUCGCAGCUAACGCAUUAAGUAUCCCGCCUGGGGACUACGGCCGCAAGGUUG
This 375-nucleotide ribosomal RNA is filed under the name uncultured prokaryote. RNAcentral's name for it is "bacterial SSU rRNA". It matches the Rfam family "Bacterial small subunit ribosomal RNA", at positions 524 to 896 of the family's 1533-position model. The record is from RNAcentral.